Molecule: long non-coding RNA, 818 nt
Filed under: Coturnix japonica (Japanese quail)
Lineage: Eukaryota; Metazoa; Chordata; Aves; Galliformes; Phasianidae
Description: lncRNA (ENSCJPG00005002195.1)
Source: RNAcentral
ACUCUUCCCUGUUCCCAACCAAGGCCAGGGGGCAGUUGCACCCAGAGGACCCCAGGCAGUAUGACUGAUGUCAGCUGUAAACCAGCAAAGGAGAAGACCUAUUAAGAGCUAUUGCUGAGCCACAGGGUCUACUUAAAAGGUGAUCAAAUUGGAUGAACUUUACUGCCAUCUGGGGAUGUAAUAUUUUCGUUUAUGUUUGUCAUUCUAUCUUUUAAUCUCAUUAAAGAGACUCAUUAUGGAGUUUAAGGGAUAAAAGAAAAAGCAUUUCAGUGUUUUCACUUACUGUGAAAGCAAGUGGAGAAAAGACAGUCUUCUUUGUUGUCUCCUGAGAGUUUUUGAGGCUGAACCUAGCAAGUGAACUCGCCAAAGGGCACACUCCUGUCUGUGGAUAUGCACUACUUUCAGCAUCUGUGGAGGACAAUGCCAAUGCAUGGUAGCACUGCUGAUCGUCCAUGUGAGGCCCAGGGAACAGAACUGCAGCCUGGACAAGUGGUGGAGGAAACAGCCUGCAAGAGAGUGUCACUUCUGCCAAGCUUUUCAACUUUAAACUUUAAACCCUGUGUGUUUGACAAACUCCCAGAGUUACAGUAUAAUAGCAUUCUUCUUUCUUUUUCUCUUUCUUUUUCUUUUUCUUUUUCUUUUUCUUUUUCUUUUUCUUUUUCUUUUUCUUUUUCUUUUUCUUUUUCUUUUUCUUUUUCUUUUUCUCUUUCUUUUUCUUUUUCUUUUUCUUUUUCUUUUUCUUUUUCUUUUUCUUUUUCUUUUUCUUUUUCUUUUUAACUAAAAAUAAAGAUUCUUUCUCCUCCUGCCUUUUUAGCUGU